Molecule: non-coding RNA, 227 nt
Filed under: Enterococcus italicus
Lineage: Bacteria; Bacillati; Bacillota; Bacilli; Lactobacillales; Enterococcaceae
Description: T-box sequence
Rfam family: T-box leader
About the family: Uncharged tRNA acts as the effector for transcription antitermination of genes in the T-box leader family. T-boxes are found upstream of many aminoacyl-tRNA synthetase genes and some amino acid biosynthetic genes usually in Gram-positive bacteria.
Source: RNAcentral
UAGGCUGCGAUGAAGAGAUAAGUACCUAAGCAACGAUCUUAAAGAGAACUCGGGUAGGUGAGAGCGAGUAGAUGGCGCAUAGUGAAAAUGGUCUUGGAGCAUUUCAUUUCGAAUGGAGUAGAAAUGAACGGGUGUGUCCGUUAUUGACACCGAGUAUUUUGAUACUUAGUAAGGUCAGCUUUGUAGCUGAUAAAUAAAAGGUGGUAACACGUGAUGACGUCCUUUCA